UACGUAGGUGGCGAGCGUUGCCCGGAUUUAUUGGGCGUAAAGCGCGUGCAGGCGGCCUGUUAAGUCCGUUGUGAAAGCUCCCGGCUCAACUGGGAGAGGUCUUCGGAUACUGGCAGGCUCGAGGGAGGUAGAGGAAGGUGGAAUUCCCGGUGUAGUGGUGAAAUGCGUAGAGAUCGGGAGGAACACCAGUGGCGAAGGCGGCCUUCUGGGCCUUUCCUGACGCUGAGACGCGAAAGCGUGGGGGGCGAACCGG
Molecule: ribosomal RNA, 253 nt
Filed under: uncultured bacterium
Lineage: Bacteria
Description: partial 16S ribosomal RNA
Rfam family: Bacterial small subunit ribosomal RNA
Source: RNAcentral